UACGGAGGGGACUAGCGUUGUUCGGAAUUACUGGGCGUAAAGCGCACGUAGGCGGAUUUGUUAGUCAGGGGUGAAAUCCCUCGGCUUAACCGGGGAACUGCGUCUGAUACUGGAUGGCUUGAGAUUGGGAGAGGGAUGCGGAAUUCCAGGUGUAGCGGUGAAAUGCGUAGAUAUCUGGAGGAACACCGGUGGCGAAGGCGGCAUCCUGGACCAAUACUGACGCUGAGUGAGCGAAAGCCAGGGGAGCAAACGGG
This 254-nucleotide ribosomal RNA is filed under the name uncultured bacterium. RNAcentral's name for it is "partial 16S ribosomal RNA". It matches the Rfam family "Bacterial small subunit ribosomal RNA", at positions 524 to 776 of the family's 1533-position model. The record is from RNAcentral.